This 76-nucleotide transfer RNA is filed under the name Dermacentor silvarum. Its description in RNAcentral is "transfer RNA arginine (anticodon UCG)". It matches the Rfam family "tRNA". From Rfam's summary of the family: Transfer RNA (tRNA) molecules are approximately 80 nucleotides in length. Lineage: Eukaryota; Metazoa; Arthropoda; Arachnida; Ixodida; Ixodidae. The record is from RNAcentral.
GUCCGCGUGGCCUAAUGGAUAAGGCCUUGUCUGACUUCGGAUCAGAAGACUGCAGGUUCGAGUCCUGUCGCGGACG